CCUGAUAAUCAAUUGAACUGUCAAGGAACCUCUCUGGAUUGAAGCUCUCUGCAUCAUUCCAAUGUUCGGGAUCUCUUGCAACUGCCCAUGCAUUAAUUAUGACUCUAGUUUUGACAGGUAUCUCAUAUCCAUUAAUUUCACAACUCUCUCGAGAUUCUCUUGGAAUUAAUAAAGGAACAGGGGGGUGCAGUCUCAGAGUUUCUUUGAUGACCAACUUUAAGAAUUUUAAUUCAUGAAUCAUGGUUUCGUCAGCAUUUCCUUUUCUACUAAAAAUGUCUCUCACCUCGGCUUGUGCCUUCGCCAUUACUCCAGGGUUUUUCAGCAUUUCUGCCAUGGCCCACUCCACAGCUGUAGAUGAUGUCUCACUGCCAGCUAUGAAGAGGUCCUGAAAUAGGAUUUGAUGAGAUGGGGAUUAGAAAAUUAAACAAUAUUUUAUUGUGAGAGUUGCAGCCAAUAUUAGGUGGAAAAAAAGGGGAACAAUUGCCAACUGGGGACUAAAUAAGCUGUCUACACCUCUGAAAGUUUGAUGUUAGUCGGCUCCAUUAAGGCUCUUGCCCAAGUGUGGAAAUGUCCCUUUCAGAAAAGGGCUCUUUUUCUAUAUAAACGCUGGUUUAUCAGAAUACAAGUUUAUCAUAAAGACAAAUUCUGAAUUUUGAAUUUUGAACUUUGAAUUUACAUUUUACUGCAAUUGAAGGAUGUUUAUUACUAUAGCUUCAUCACAAAUGAUUCAAGACUUUGAAUUAACUGGCCAAGAAUUUGAACGGAUAGGUGGAACUAUAUGGAGCUACAAAAGAAAAACAAAAUGAUAGAGGCAGAAGAUAAGAAUACUAACCAAGAGAAUCGCUUUGAUGUUGUCUGUAGUUAAGGGAAAUUCAAGGUCACCCUGCUUCUGAACUUUCAAAAGGACAUCAACUAAAUCUUCAUCUACCUCAGCCUCACUGAUCUCCGAUGCUUCACUUCUAGCUUUAUGUUCAUUGAUGAUGUUUUCAAGUAUCGUGUCCAGUUUUUUGUGAAUUUUCUCAAGUUUAUGCCUUAUUCCACUGACCACAUGAAGUAGUUUUAUGGAAGGGAACACAUCAGCAAUUGUGAAACCCCCUCCUGAGCCUGCAAAUUUCUCAAGAGUUACCGAGAAUGCUUCUUGGUCCUUGCAUUUCUUACCAAAGGCCGCCCUGGAAAUGAUGCUAAAUGUCAAAGAAAAAAUACUCUCAGUAAGAUUGAUUGAUACUCCCUCCUGUGAAGAGAUUGAUCUAACAAGAUUGAGCACCUCCUCUUCCCUCACUGAUCUGAAUGAUUGGACCCGCUUUGCACUUAGAAGCUCCAAAAUGGAAAUUUUUCGAAUUUGCCUCCAGUAAUCUCCAUAUGGGGCAAAAGCAAUAUCUGUGCAGUCAUAAGAUACGAUACUUGCCGCAAGAAUACAAGGCCUUUGAGAAAAGAUGAUGUCAUGGGUUUUCAUUACCUCUUUGGCCAUCUCUCUUGAAGAAACAACAAUGGCGGAAACUUCACCUAGUUGUAGGUGCAUCAGGGGUCCAUGUUUCUUGGCCAAGUUUCUUAGGCUGUGAUGGGGUAGACUACCAACAAGCUGGUGCAUGUUUCCAAUGAUGGGCAACUUCCAUGGUCCUGGUGGUAAAUUUGGAGCGGGAUGGGUGGUUCUGGAUGGCUUUCCUAAUCUCUUCAGCAGGUAAAUGAAUAGAAGGAAGGUGCAAAGGAUAGGGAAGAAGGAGAAUUGGAGCUCCAUGAGGAGAAUAGAAAUGAUCAGUAGAGAGGAUAGUCUUUACUGUCUUACCUCUUCCGGAAAAACUGUGCCUUGGAGUUCUGCUUGGUCAUGGGGUAUCCUUGUAUCAUUAAUAAAGAUGCCUUUCCCAAUCUGAUAUUAGUGGAUUAAAUGCUUUACCAUGUCAACUAAAACAUCACUAUUAUAGAUCUCACCUGUGAUAUAUGAAAGCAACUUCAAGGAAAACUCCAACAUGGUAAGUAUGAGUCUUUACACGGCAUUCUCUCUGGCUUAUUUGCCUAGUGGGGUAUUUAGAAGCUUGACAGGAAGAUUAUUUAUCUGAUGGUACACCAUUCUUUUCUUGGUUUCUUCAUUCCAAAUAUGUGACUAGUUCGAUUAUAAGCACUAGCAGACUGAAUGAUACUGGCCGUUUAUGUGGAUCAAUUACACUUUCAAUUUCUGUCCGCCAUAGAUUCAUACUUCAUUCAAAUGGUAGGUGUUCCGUCUUUUAUCAAGUAUUAGUCAAAUUCUUGUAUAUGACUGGUAAAUUUCUGACCCAAAGUGGUGGCAUUUUCAAGAAAGUUUGUUUAAUUUAGGUUAUUUGAUUCCAAGAUGUAAAAUAACUUUUCACUUUAUGAAAAUAUGGAAAAUAAUUAUUUUUGAACAAAAAUAUUCAUUAUCAAUUUUUUUAUAUCUAUUUUAGAUCAAAGUAAUUAUUAAAAAUAUAACCAAGGUAUUUAUAUCUAAUUGAGGUUAUAUCUUUUUUUUUUUUUAGAAAUCUAGGGUUAUCUUUUUUAACAUAAAUUCAAUUUUAGAAAAUCAAUGAGCUUUGAAGCAACUUGUUUUUAGACUGAAACAUUUUCAAGGUGUUACUUUUUCACUUGUCACUUUUUCAAGAAAAUUUUAUCUUAAUAGAAAACUGAAUUUUUUAUCUUCGUAAAAAUAAUUUUGUUUUUCUCAAGUUCUUAAAAAAAUGAUUUUUUUUUUCUUGAUGAAAAAGCAAUUCUUCUUUUUACUUCUUAAUUUGAGCUUCUUCAAAGAGUCAAACAUUAAUACAAGAAAAGUGAUAUCUAGUAACAUAGUUUUAGUUGGGGCCAGCUAAAUCCACAACCAAAGCAUAUAUGUAGCCUCAUAUUCAGAUCUUUUUCUGCCACUUUUUGUUUGCCACUAGCUGUUUUUUCUUGUUGUUGAUCAUAAAAGUCUACUAUGUUUAUGGAUUAGAAACGUGCAAUUUGGCUUGCUUUUGGUCUAUGACUUGCUACUACGUACCUACCAUUGGAGUCCUACACUGUGUGAUCAUCCAUCGAUCCCCUUUUUGGUUCUUUAGUGUUUUUUGUCAAGUCCUACAAUGCUAAUUCUGUCAAGUGACUUUGUUGUGACAAUAGAAUGGCAUGUCAAUCGACUAUGCUUAUUUGUUUGUUUUUUUUUUUUUUCUAAUAUGGGUGCCCCCCAUUCUUGUCAAACAUUCCAUCUUUUAUGUGUGGUUGCGGAUGUGUAAUGUGUGUAUACAUAUUAUAAACAGAUAAAGACAUUAUUUUCUAGAAAUUAGAGAAUGAGAGGGCAAUCAAUCAAGGCAUUUCAAUGUAGGUAGUCGAUUAACACUGUUCACCAAGAUACAAAGGCCUGUAGCCUCCUCCAAUGAACACUACUAUGUUAGGUUUUAAUGAUCAAAUUGGAUAAUUCACAAAGAUGGGCGUCUCAUUAAGUUUUCUGGGAAAUAUUUCCAGUUCAAACAAAAGAUUAAAUGGCAUAUGAGGAAAUGAAAGCAAAGACUGUGAGUAGUCCUUCCUAGUUGCAGAAAUGGUGUUCCCCCUGAAAAGGACUAUGCAAUAUGAUACAUUCUCAAGGGGAAUUUAUCAAACUAACUAAAUAGAGACAGGAAAGCAAAGUCGGAUGAAAGUUUCAUUGGAAGCUGCCAUUCAGAAAGUGGGAUAUAGAGAAGACAUUCCCCAUUCCCCUCUAAUUUCUGUAACAGUCUUGAUGGAUAGACUUGGAAGGACCUAUAUAUAGGCUUACAAACCAAGUCUAGAACCAGUGCAAAAAGUGGCUGAGAAAGCUACCUGCACCAGCCAAAUGCUUAAGCUGCACCCGGGACUUUCACCAAGCCCACAGGCUCAAAACAAGGGCAUGAAUUGUGGGUAUGAGAAAGAGCAUAUUUCACAAUCCAAUUGGCCUGGAUUGUGGGUCAUAUUUUAGGGUUUAUUUUGAGAUCUUUAUGACCUCUUUUAAGUCCUUAUAAUAUACUAGUCUUGCUAGAAUAUCAGGAAUGUCUUUCAUUUAAGGGUUUCUUGCAUUACAAUUUACAAGAAAAAAAGAAGCCUAGAUUUUUUCUCUCUCUAGUAGGCUAAUCAGAAAUAUAUAUCAAUAAAAGCACCUAAAUAAAAUAGGGGGAUGCAACCCAUGUUCAGAUGUUAUAUUCCAGCAGUGAAAAAGCAGGAUAAAAGAAAAACAGCAAAUGGCACACUCCGAACUAUCCCUUCCCCAAGCUACCUCCGAAGUUGAUAUAUAAAGGAAUGCUUACUAUUCAAAAUGCUCAUUAGACCACAAUAACAAGGCAUAAGAAACAAGUUACCUACAACCAAAGUAGAAGCUUGGAUUAGGUGACACACAGGACUGGAUUACGUACCCUACUUUUGAAAUUCGUAAAUGCAGAUAUUUUUUAGCCAAGAAAAUGAUUUUAUAGUUUUUUUUCCCCGACGAGGAUGCCUUUAAUUGUGUCAAGUGAUUGGAGGGCCUUGAAGCAUCAGAUAGGAUCAAAUAGAUUCCAUGGGACAUCCUCUCCCAUAGUUUUUUUUUUUUUUAUCUCAUCUUCUUCCCGAAUUUUUUCCGCUUUCCAGUCCCAUCUCUUCUCUUUUCUCUCUCUCUCUCUCUCAAAAAAAUAAAAUUAAAAAAUAUAUAUAAAAAAAAAAGGAGAAAAAAAGAAAAAAAAAAUACGAAAGAAUAAUUACUUUAGUCAAGUCUUGCCAACACGACUGGUAAAUUUCAUAUUUUUAUUUUUUGUAGUGCAAUAAGCUAUCAUUUCAUAGUCACCCUGCUGUUUUAUAAAACCAUGACUUCAAGAAAAAUCAAGGACAUGCUGAACUGGUUGUCUAAAAUUUGGCCAAAUGCUUAUUGAAAUGAUUUUCCCCCUUCAUGGGUUUUCAUUACGUCUUUUCCAUCUCCCUUCAAGAAACAACAAUGGUGGAAGCUUCGCCAGGCUGUAAGUGCAUCAGGGUUCCAUGUUGCUUGGCCAAGUUUCUAAGACUGUGAUGGGGUAGACUACCAAAAAGCUGAUGCAUGUUUCCAAUGAUGGGUAACUUCCAUGGUCCUGCGGGUAACUUUCGAGCAGGUCCGUUUGUUCUAUAUGGCUUGCCUAGUCUCUUCAGCAGGUAAAUGAAUAGAAGGAAGGUGCAAAGAAUAGAGAUGUCCAGUAGAGAUGAUAAUCUCUAUUGUCUUACCUCUUCUGGGGAAACUAUGCCUUGGAGUUCUGCAUGGUCACGGGGUAUCCUUGUAUCAAUAAUAGAGAUGCCUUACCCAAUCAGAUAAUAGUGGAUGAAAUGCCUUUGUCAAGUCAACUAAAAUAUUCACUAUUAUAAACCUCAUUUAUGAUACAAGAAAGCAACUUCAAGGAAAACUCCAAUAUAGUAAGUAUGAGUCUUCACACAUCAUGCUCUCUGGCUUAUUUGACAGGAGAUUAUUUAUCUGAUCGUACAGCAUUUUUUCUUGGUUUCUGCAAUCCAAAUAUGUGACAGGUUUGAUUAUAAGCACCAGCAGACUGAAUGAUACUGGCCGUAUAUUUCUAAAUAUCUUAAAAUAUAACAAGAGCAAUUAUAUUAAUGUAACUGAGGUCAUAUUUUUUAAUUUUUUAGAAAAAUCUGGGAUAUAAUUUUUUUUAACAUCGAUAUUCCUUUCAUUUUUGGAAUCAAUGAGUUUUGAAAUAAAUUGUUUCUAGACUUAAAACAUUUUAAAGGUGUUUCCUUUUUCACUUAUCACUUUUUUAAGAAAAUUUUGUUUUAAUAGAAAAUAAAUUUUUUUUCUUCCUAAAAAAGUUUCAUUUUUCUCUUCUCUAAUUCUUGAAAAAUAAUUAUUUUUUUCCUUUUUUUGUAAUAAAUAUUAUUUUUUUUAAAAAAAUCAUUUUUUAUUCAACUUUUUUAUUUUAAGAAAAUAAUCAUAUGUUAAUUAUUUAGAGUAAGAAUAGCAUAAUAAUUAUUUUCUUCCAAGAUUGUGAAACUAUUAAUUUUCAAAUAUUGUAUUUUAUUUAAUUGACAAUUUUGUUCCUUUUUUUUACUAAUUAGAUGAGACUUAUUUUCUUAUAUCUUUUCAGACUCAACUCAACUUUAAAUUUCAUCGAAUUCGGAUUUGAAUUAUUCUGAACCAUAAAAUUUAAGGUAAUUAUCUAUUUGUGGUUGAUAAAACUUUUAAAAUAGCUAAUAUAAAAAAUUAAGAAGAUAAUACAUUAUAUUUCCUAAUUUGAUUUCUAUUUUGUUUUUUUUUUAUUUCAAACAUUGUUUUCCAUAUGUUUUAAAAUUGAGUUUAUUUCAAAAUUGGUGUUUGAUUCUAAAUAUAUAUUUGCAAUGUUUUAGAAUUAAAAAACUUUUCAUAAUUUUUUUUUAAAAUUAUAAAUAUAAAUAGAAAUAUUUUAUUUAAAAAGGUGAAAUUUUAUGAACCCUAAAAACUUAUAAUCAUCCAUCAAAAGUUUAAUCAUUCUUAAGAGUAACUUUUGUCUUAAAAAUAAUAAUAAUAAUAAUAAUAAUAAUAAUAAUAAUAAAUAAAUAAAUAAAUAAAGAGAAACUUCAAGGGAUAAGAAAAAGUGGAAUUGGAGCUCCACGAGAAGAAUAGAGAUGAUCAGUGUAGAGGGUAGUCUAUUGUCUUACCUCUUCGGGGAAAUCUGCCUUGGAGUUCUGAUAGGUCAUGGAGUAUCCUUGGAUAAUUAAUAGAGAUGCCUUAUCUAAUCUGAUAUUAGUGGGUGAAAUGCCUUUAUCAAGUCGACUAAAACAUCGAAAUCUUACAUUUAUGAAAGCUCCAAAAAUAGUUAAGAACGAGUCUUUACACAUCAUACUCUCUGGCUAAUUUGCCGAGUGGGGUAUUUAGAAAGAUUGACAGAAGUUGGUUUCUUCAACCCAAAUAUGUGACUGGUUUGAUUAUAGGCACUAGCAGAUCUAGACUACAUGAUACUGACCGUUUAUAUGGGUCGAUUAUACUUUCAAACUUUGUCCGCCAUAUAUUCAUGCAUCAUUCAAAUGGUAGAUGCUCCAUCUUUCAUCUAGUGUUAGUGAAAAUUUUCUCUUCUCAAGUUCUUGACCAAGUGAGGGUCACCACUCCCACUCUCAGAUGGUCAGGCCUCUCCGCCACCAUGGUUACACCAUUUAUUAUUAUAAUGAAUAUUAUAGAAAAUAUAUUUUUUUCAUUUUUUAUGCAAGUCUUUUUAUUUUAAGAUAUUUUGAAUAUACUAAACUGUUCAUUUUGUCUUUCAUAAUCAUAUCUUAAUUAUAUAAAUUAAUAUGCAAAAUAAGAACAAAUAUAAUAAUAAUUUUUUUGUAAAAGCAAACUUAUCUAAUUACUAACCUUUACAUAUUUUUAUAAUGCAAAAACAAAAAACUAAAUAUUUGAUAGCAUUUAGACCUUAAUAAAAAUAAAUAUUUUGAUUUAGAUAUUGGCAUUAAGCUCUUCCAAACUAAGUUAAAUUAAGGUCUAGUCAAAUUUAAGAUGAGCAAACAAAUAUCAUCUCACUGUUACAUUUGCACAAAUGAACCCUUCUUUUAUAAUUAAGUAGCAUUUCCUAAAAUCAAAGGAAAUUAAGCCAAUUAGAUCCCACAGGCUUACUAAUUAGCUGGCCUUCAUACUAGAGCUUUUUUGAGAAGGUGGGAAAAUCCUAAAACUUUCUAGGAGAUAACCAAGUUUCCGCAGAGUUGAAUUUUUAUGGAAUUUUCCAAAGAUAUUCAAAGUUCUCUACAGUUGGAUGGAAGUCCCAAGAGUGGAGUUGGCAUAUGUAGAUCAUUCUCUGGGUGCAUGUAGAAAGAUUUGGAGGAGGUUUUGGAACUCCAAGAUUUCUAAGAUCUUUCUUUGUGCGUUUAAAAAUACAUAAAAUCCUCGUUUUGCAAAGACAUCAAGGGUUACGAAAAAUGUCUCAAAUUCCUAAUAAGUAUAAAUUUCAUUUUUUGUAAGGAAUAUUAUAUAAAAUAUUUCUUAAGUUAAUAUAUUAUUAUAACAUUAGAUUUCAUUAUAGAAUAAGGAAAGUUGUUGAAAUUUUUUUUAUAAAUGUUUUAAAUUAUGAGGGGGAAAAGUCAUAAAAUGGAGAUGGACUUGUAAAAAUUAUACGAAGUGGAUAGAGAUGUAAGGAAGAAUGAGAGACACCUAGUGAAGCGAGGAGGCUUAUGCUUCAAUGUAUGGAUACAAGGAAUGGGAAACAUGAAAUGUUUUGGGAACCUAAUAGUUAUGUCUGGUUUUAUCCUCUAUAAUAUAGUAAAAAGAUUCUCUCUUAUCUAUGGAUAUAGGCAUAGUUGGUCAAACUACAUUAAAACUUCUUGAAUCAUUAUAUUGGUUGUUUUAUCUUUAUAUUAUUAAAUUAACAUUGUUUGCAUUAAAGUUUUUGUUGGCACAACACUUAUAACUAAAUAGUUGAAACCCUCAUUUGGAUAAGGUACAAUCUUGUAAUCCUUAGUGCAAUAUACUUGCAUUAUUUCAAGCUUUCAAGUAAAGUUUAGUGUUCAACUUUUAGAAAUUAGCAUGGUCAUGAGAUCCAUGAAAUCAAGAUUGUGACAACCUUUUCGUACUAUUAAAUGUCACUAGGUCCAUUUCUAAGAAAAACUUUCACCUACAUUGUCCAUAUCAAAUGUCACAAAAACAAUUUAACUACUUAAUAGGUCAACAAUAAUUACAUUUUUAGAAUUGUAGAUCAUCAAGAUUAUUUCACAUGGCAAACUCGUGUUAUGCAAGCUAAUCAAUACCAAACACCAAAUCAUAAAGAAAGCUAUAGAUUUGAAAAUAAUCCCAAAUUCCAUGAAUAUUUAAUCAUGGAUGUUGAUUAUGUUUUCUUGCAACACAAUUAUAAGAGAAUGCAACCAUGAAGUACAAUUAUGGAUAUUAACCACUUCAUUAUGAGAUUACAAGAAUGUAGGUGGAAUAAUAUAAAUAAAAAUGCUUUACUUAUUUAAUAAAGACAUAAGAUGUGCUAAUAGAAAAAUGGGAUAAUAUGAAAAUUAAAAGGUAUGCUUAUCGGUAAUGGAAAUUGAUAUAAACAUUCUUGUGGUAUUCUACUUACACCUUAAUAGAUAUGACCUAAAGGAUUCAAUCCUAUCACAGGGAGCCACCAUGAUUGAAGUGGGCUAUAUACUAUCACAACCACCCAUUAGAAAACUCCACCACUACUACCACUCUUCUCCAUUAAUGGCCAUAACCGCCACUCCCUCAGCCAGUUACUACUUCUACCCUCACUACCAAAAAAUAUUUUCACUAUCUCAUUGAAAUCUCUUGAAGAUUCAAGUCGGCAUUGCCAUUACCGCCCUUGAACGCUAAUCAUUACCUUUCAUGGCACAUCCCUCUUAAGCUAUAAAAAGGGAGCCUUGCUACAAUUCAAUGUGUCAAUCUUCGUAAUGGGGGUGUGAAUGGGUAGAAGGAGAAGAAAAGAGAUUAGGAAUAAGUAUUUUGUUAGGAUAAGGCCAUUAAAAAUAGAAACAUAAUGUAAUGAACUUGAUACAUUAUUUUAUUUGAUAUUAGUUCUUCUAUCCUAUUUACAUUACCUAUGUAUUUAUUCACUUGCAAAAGCUUUAAAGCUAUAUCAUUGUAUACAACUCAAGUGCAUUAUUAGUUAUAUGGAAGAUUUGAGUCAAAGGUUCCUUGCAAAGUGAUAAGUUUUUCAUGGCAACUAGUUCAUGGACUUGAGCAAUCCAUUACAAAUCAUAGUAUAUACACUGCCUCCAAAGUGGUGGGAUGAUUGCUCUUAGUCAUUGAGAUGGAUUUCUUAUGGCAUGUGUACCAAUAUAUAUGGUUACACAUAUUAGGAUAUAAAGUCCUUAAAGGCAUGACAAGAUGUAACAAUGAAAAUUUUCAUUAAUAUACUAUGAUUUUAGUUUCACUUCACUAUCCUACUUUUUGCAUUAAUACUUAUCAAUGCAUUCAAACCUUAAUCAAUUACAUUGUACAUGACUUGAGUACAUUAGGAGUUGUAUAGAAAAUUCAAUUCAUGAGUUCCUUGCAAACUAAUGAGUAGUAUUCAUAGUUAGCUCAUGGGCUUAGGCAAUCUAUUUAAGGUUAUAAUGCACUUGAGGCUUUAGUACACUAGGAAGGGUUUCCCUUGGUGAGUGCACUAAUGUAUAUAUGCACAUUAAAUAAGACCUGUGGUGAAUCAUGACAUUGCCUAUUGAGUUUUUAUGACCUCAUGGCCAAACUAUUAUGUUGCGUGAACACUCAAUUUUGAGAGAAUAUUAGACUAAUGUUGAGAUUUUCAAUGUCUUUAACAUAUUCGUGAGUCAUACAUUCCCUAUAGAUUAAGUCGCUAUUGAUUAAGGCAUGUGGUAACAAGUAUGCUUAAGAAAGACAUCAAGAUAUUGUUAGGAUAGAGCCCUUAAAAGCAUGACAUGAUGUAAUAAAAUUUGGAAUUUAUUAUUGACAUAGUUCUAGUUUCACUUUUAUCUAUCCUUAUUCCAUCCAUUAUACUUCAUGAGCAUUUUGGCCCACAUCUCUUAUAAUGUAUAUGACUUAGGUAUAUUAGGAGUUGUACAAAAUAUCCAAGUUAUGAAUUCCUUAUAAGUAGAUGACUUAUUCACAACCAAUUUAUAGAUCUAGGAAACCCAUUAGAGGUUAUUGUACACUACCUCCUAAUUGGAGGGAUAGUUGGUCUUGGUCAUCGAGAUAAGGUUCCAAUGAUGUGUGUACUAAUGUUUAUGGUUAAACAUUGAAUAGGACCUACAAUGAAUCAUAACAUAAGGCUAUCAAGUAGUCAUAACUUAACCAAGAUGCUUCAUUGUGUUUUCUCUCAAUUUUAAGAGAAUAUUGAGUUUAUGCUAAGUUAGUAGUGUUUUUGACCUAUGAGUUAUAUUCUAAAGUGAUCAUAUAUUCCCUAUGGAUUAGGUCACUAUUAAAAAAAGUUAGUAGCAAUAGAUAUUAUCAAUAAAGAUAUCAUGAUAUCUCAUCAUAUUGAAAUAAAGUGUCCCCUUAAGUGAUCCAAAGGAAAGUGUGUUCAUGUAAACUAUAGUCAUAGUAGCUUCUUAAGUGGAACUUAUGUGAGCUAAGAUAUGUCAGCUAAUAACACAAUUAGAGAACUCAAUUAGUGAAUUUAUAACUCAAGGAUAGUAGAGGUAGUCUUGAGAGGUUAAUAGUUUACACAUCAUUAAACUAUGGACACCAAUUCAUGGGGAGACUAUACGCAAUGGAUAACAAGUCAUGAACUUGAGCACUUAAUAUUUCAUUGUUAUUUAUAUAGGUAUUAAAGUGCAAUUAAUUCUCUAUGAUGAGAUAUUGAAUCAACUUCAAAAUUGGAUUCUAAGGGAGCCAAUACUGUCAUAUGGGCCCAAUGGUCCUCACUCAAGCUCAUAUAAAUUGAUGGCAUAGUUUAUGAUGGUUGGAUUAGCAUUUGGUUCACUUCUAUGCAUAAGGAUGUUUGGUAAUUAAGUAAGGUUACAUAGGGAUUUGUGAAUAGCAUAUCUAGAUUGAGCUAAUUAAUUAAUUGGAUAGCCAUGUUGAGUUAGUUAAUCAAUGAAGAUCUUUUUUAGGCUAGAUUAGUGAUUCAAGUCCUUGAUUAACUCAAGUCACUUAAAUCUAGUAGGGAACCCUAUGAAUACCCCCUUAAGGGUUGGGAUUUCUAACUUUUUUAGUCUUUCAUCAUCUAAAGAGAGUUUUAGCCUCCAUCCUCCUAAACACCCCAUCGUUUGUGCGCCUAGAAUAAAAGUAAAGUCAUCAUGACAAAAGAUCAUGGGUGUACGAGACUUCCAACUAUUUUGACUUGGUUCUUCAUCAAAAGGAAAGAAUUUAGGAAUGUUCAAAUUAGUGGUGAAGGUCUCUACCGUUAAUUUAUAUCCAUAUACUUUAAAAAAUAUCUUAUUUGCUUCUGAUGCAUAAGAUUUAAAGGCCUAUAAAGAAAAUCAUGCGCCUAACCUAACUCUAGGAUAGGUAAUAGAGAAAUCUAGGAUUCCCUACAGAUACAUCUCAUGGAUCUAAGACAAUAUGUCCCUUAGGGUGAUCCUAAGACUUGUGAUUUUCAAAUUUGUGGUCCUCUUAAUUCCUUAAGUGAAAAAAUUGACAUAUGUUCUUUAUGAACUAGAAUAUGUUAAUUGAUCACAUAAUAGAAGGACCUCAGACUUGAUGACUGUAAAGAUAAUCUUAAGAGGUUAAUAGUUUCUACCUUAUUACAUUAUAGAUUUCAAUCUAUGAAAAGUCUAUAUGUAGUAGUUAGUAAGUCAUAGACUCGAGAAAUUAAUGAAAUUAGAUUGAAUCAAUUUUCAUCUCAAUUUAAUAUCAUAGGAUAUUAAAGUGUAUAUGGCUAUGUUGAAUAGAGUAUUAGGUCAAUUUUAGAAUUAGAUUAUAAGAGAACUAGUAUUUUCUUAUGGUUUUACUAAUCUCUACUCGAGCUUAGACUCUUUAGUAGCAUGUACUUUAAGAGAAACUCUAUAUAGCAUGGUGAACACAAGUUGCAAACAACAUUGCACUCUAAUUUCUAUCGUAACACAACUCCUACUGAGUGUUCCUCAAAUCUAGUACAAAGCUAGGGCACACUAAAUAAUGAUCUUCUCUAUUUUUCAUGGUUUUUCAAAAGAAAGGGGAAAUUGACAGAAUACAAAGCACUUUGCCUUUUUUUUUUCUUUCCAAAACUAAAGAAAAACCCUUCAAAGAAAUGUAUAAUUUUUUGUCCCCAAUAUCAAAGGAAACGUUGUUCAUUUUUAGGUCUUAACAAUCAACUAAACAAAUAUGUAAUGGGUAGAACUCUUAUUUAUUGAGAAAGAAAAUAAAAUAAAACAAAUAGUAUGAGCCAAAAUUACAACACAGUUUCUUUGAGAUCAAAAUAAAAUAAAAACAAAUAGUGUGAAGCCAAAACAUAAUUUAUUCAGGCCCAAAAUAAGGCUUAACCACAUGGAGCCCAAAGUUGGUUCAUUUGGUUGCACUUUUGAGGGCCCAAAUCCAGGGAGGAUCCUCCCCCGUUCUUGUGAUGGAUCAUGCACCUAGUUAAAUGGUUUUCAAAUUAAGCAUCCUGAAAUUGCACUGAAUGUGCUUGGACCUCAUGCCUGCUAGUAGGCCCCCACUUUCUCUUCACAAAUUCAUGAGGCUUGGAAAGUGGGAUUUAAUCAAAACCAUUUUUUAGCUCCAAGCUUCCCGUGUCAGACAAAGUAAAUUCAUGCAAUAUUCCUAUAAUCUCCUAUGAAUUGCAUGAGUUGACAGAUAUUGAACAAAAAAAUGGGUAUGAUGGUUGGAGGAAUACGAGAAUUCAAUGCAUCAAAAUUGGUGUCUUCAUGCUGUGAACUACUGUUAGGAUAACGAGUUGUCAGCCACAAAACUUUGGUAUGAAAAUAAAGUUCCAUGAACCAAAAUGUGGAAAAGUGUGGUGUGAUGGGUGGGUUAUUCUUGUAAAUAUGGGGUUAUUUUAACCCUUUGACCAAAUAACCCAAAAUAACAAAAAUAUUUGUUUCCUGUCAAAGUACCUAUUAAAUAUAUAACAAGGGCAAUUAAAUUAAUGUAAUUGAGGUUAUGUUUUUUUUAAUUUUUUAGAUAAAUAUGAUUAUUAUCUUUAUUCACAUAAAUAUUCAUUUAGGUUAUGUUUGAUUUCUGAAAAAUACAAAGGAAAGAAAAUGAGGAAGAAAAAAUAAAUUUAAAGUUAAUAAAUUAUUUUUAUAUACUUUUUCAAAUUUAUUUAACUUAUUUUCUUAGAUUAAAUAAUUUUAAAAUAUAUAAAUUUUUAAUUAAUUUUAAUUAUAUUUUAUUUUUCACAGUAAAACCAAAAAAAAAAAUCAUUUCUCUUACAAUUUUUUUUCUUUUCUUAGUGUUUUUUGGAAGCUAAAUUUAGCCUUAAUUUUUGGAAUCAAUAAGUUUUGAAAUAAAUUAUUUUUAGACUUUUUUUUUUUGACGAUUAAAUUAUUUUUAGACUUAAAACAUCUUAAAUGUGUUUUCUUUUUCACUUAUCACUUUUUUAAGAAAAUUUUGUUUUAAUAGAAAAAUAAUUUUUUUCUUUGUGUUGAUAAAAAAAAAAUAUAAUAAUCCUCUUUUUCCUUUCAAUUUGAGCUUGUUCAAAGAGUCAAAUAUAAAUUUUUAUCCUUUCUUCCCUUCCACCGUGACUAGGUGAGGUCCACCACUCGUGCUCCUGGAUAAUCAACUACUCCACCACCACGAUUAAUAAUUUAUUAUUGUAAUAAAUAUUAUUUUCAAUAGGUUUUUUUUUCAUUUUUUAUUCAACUUUUUUAUUUUAAGUUAUUUAAAAUAUAUUAAAUUACUAAAUUUUAUUUUUCAUAAUCAUAUGUUAAUUAUUUAUGAUAAGAAAAACACAAUGAUUAGUUUUUUUGAAAAUUGCGAAAAUAUUAAUUUUCAAAUAUUAUAUAUAUUUUUUUUUUAUUUAGUUGGCACUUUUACUCAUUUUUUUAUUAAUUAGAUAAGAUUUAUUUCCCUUUGUUUUAUCCUAUUCAAGACAACUUUAAACUUCAUCAAAUUUAUAUUUAAUUUAUUCAGAAUCAUAAAAUUUAAGGUGAAUAUAUAUUUAUGGUUAAUAAAACUUUUUAAAUAUUUAAUAUAAUAAAAUAGGAAAAGAAUAUUGUAUAUUGCCUAAUUUGACUUCUAUUAUAUUUUUAAUUUCAAAAAUUAUUUUUUUUUUAAAUUGUGUUUACCUUUAAAUUAGUAUUUGAUUCUAAAAUUAGAAAAUUCUCCAUAAUUCUAUAAAAUAAAAUAAAAAGGUUUUACUAGUAUAAAUAAAGAUGUUUUAUUAAAAAAAAUGGGUGCAUUUUUAUGAACCUUAAGAACCUAUAGUCAUACAUCAAAAGUUGGAUCCUUGAGUUCUUAAACUUUUAAUAUAUUUCUUGAUAGUAAUUUUGGACUUCAAUAAAAUCCCAAUAAAGGCUUUAGGGUAAAGGGAUCCGCUAAGAAACACGAGAAAGAAAGGGAAUCAAAGCUCCACAAGGAGAUAGGGAUGAUCAAUGUAGAGGUAGUCUCUAUUGUCUUACCUCUUCCGGAGAAACUGUGCCUCUUGAAUUGGCGGUCAUGGGUUAUCCUUGUAUCAAUAAUAGAGAUGCCUUACCAAAUCUGAUAUUAGUGGAUGAAAUGAUUUAUGAAGUCAACUAAUACAUCCACUAUUAUAAAUCCUACAUUUAUGAAAGCUCCAAAAAUAGUUAAGAACGAGUCUUUACACAUCAUACUCUCUGGCUUAUUUGCCUAGUGGGGUAUUUAGAAAGAUUGACAGAAGAUUAUUUAUCUCCUUGGUUUCUUCAAUCCAAAUAUGUGACUGGUUUCAUUAUAGGCACCAGCAGACUGAAUGAUACUGGCCAUUUAUGUGGGUCGAUUAUACUUUCAAAUUUUGUACGCCAUAUAUUCAUGCUUCAUUCAAAUGGUAGAUGCUCCCACAGGCUUACUAACGAGCCCUUUAUUUAUAAUUAAGUAGCACUUCCUAAAAUCAAAUAAAAUUAAGCCAAUUAGAUCCCACAGGCUUACUAAUUAGCUAACCUUCAUACUAGAGCUUUUUUUGAGAAGGUGGAAAAAUCCAAAAACUUCUAGGAGGUAUCCAAACUCGCGCAUAGUUGCAAAUAUCUGGAAUUUUCCAAAGAUAUUCAGAGUUCUCUAGAGUUGGAUGGAAAGUCCCAAGAGUGGAGUUGGCAUAUGUCAAUAGGUCAAACUUCAUCCCUUUCUAAAAAAAACUUUCACCUUUAUUGCCCAUAUCAAUGUCACAAAAACAAAACAAUUUAAUUACUUAUUAGGUCAACAAUAAUUACAUUUUUGGAAUUGUUGACCAUCAGGAUUAUUUCACAUGGCAAAAUUGUGUUAAUAGAAAAAUGGGAUAAUGUGAAAAUUAAAAGGUAUGCUUAUCGGUAAUGGAAAUUGAUAUAAACAUUCUUGUGGUAUUCUACUUACACCUUGAUAGAUAUGACCUAAUAGAUUCAAUCCUAUCACGAGGAGCCACCAUGGUUUGAAGUGGGCUACUCUCACAACCAACCAUUAGAAAACUCCACCACUACUACCAUUCUUCUGAACUAAUUGCCAUAACUGUCACUUCCUCGACCAAUCGCUACGACUACCCUCACUACCAACCAACAUCUUCACUAUCUCAUUGAAAUCUCUAGAAGAUUCAAGUCAGCAUUGCCAUUACCGCCCUUGAAUGCUAAUCACUACCUUUCAUGGCACAUCCCUCUUUAGCUAUUAAAAAAGAGCCUUGCUCUCACUCAAUGUGUCUAUGUGAAUGGGUAGAAGAAGAAGAAGAGGGAUUAGUGAUAAGUAUUUUGUUAGGAUAAGGUCCUUAAAAGUAGAGACAUAAUGUAAUGAACUUAAUAUAUUAUUGUAUUUGAUGUUAAUUAGUUCUUUUAUCCUAUUUACAUUACCUAUGUAUUUAUUCACUUGCAAAAGCAUUCAAGUUAUAUCAUUAUACGUAACUUGAGUGCAUAAUGAGUUGUGGAAGAUUCAAGUUAUAGGUUCCUUACAAAGUGAUAAGUUGUUCAUGGAAACUAGUUCAUGGACUUGAGCAAUCCAUUAAAGAUCAUAGUAUAUAUACUACCUCCAAAGUAGUGGGAUAAUUACUCUUGGUUAUCAGGAUAGAUUUCCCAUGGCAUGUGUACCGGUCUAUAUGGUUACACAAGCCCUUAAAAGCUUGACAAGGUGUAACAAUGUAAAAUUUCAUUAAGAUAUUAUGAUUUUAGUUUCACUUUACUACCCUAUUUUUUGCAUUAAUAUUUAUCUAGCAUUCAAGUCUUAAUUAGUUGCAUUGUACAUGAGUUGAGUGCAUUGGGAGUUGUAUAGAAAAUUAAAUUCAUGGUUUCCUUGCAAGCUAAUGAGUGGUUCAUAAUUAGUUCAUAGACUUAGGUAAUCUAUUUAAGGUUAUAGCACACUAUCUCUAUUUGAGGCUUUAGUACACCAAGAAGGGUUUCCCAUGGUGAGUGCAAUAAUGUGUAUAUCACACAUUGAAUAAGAGUUGUGGUGAGUCAUAACAUUACCUAUUGGGUCAUUAUGACCUCACCAACUAUUAUGUUGCAUAAACUCUCAAUUUUGAAAUAAUAUUGAACUAAUGUUGAGGUUUUCUAUGUCUUUGACAUAUUGGUGAGUCAUACAUUUCCUAUGAAUUGAGUUGUUGUUGAUUAAGGCAAGUGGCAACAGGUACGCUUAUGAAAGGCAUCACGAUAUUGUUAGGAUAAAGUUCUUAAAAGCAUGACAUGAUGGAACAAAAUUUGGAAUUUAUUAUUAACAUAGUUCCAAUUUCACUUUUAUCUAUCAUUAUUCCAUGCAUUAUACUUCAUAAACAUUUUGGUCUACAUCUCUUAUAAUGUAUAUGACUUAGGUGUAUUAGCAGUUGUAUGGAAGAUCCAAGUUCUAAGCUCCUUGUAAGUAGAUGACAUGUUAACAAUCAGUUUAUGGGCCUAAGCAACCCAUUAGAGGUUCAAUCAGUUUAUGGGCCUAGGCAACCCAUUAGAGGUUAUGGUAUACUAACUUCUAAUUGAAGGGAUGGUUAGUCUUGACUAUCGGGAUAAGGUUCUCAUAGUGAGUGCAUUAAUGUUUAUGGUUAUGCAUUAAACAAGACCUAUAAUGAAUCAUAGCAUAAGAUUAUCAAGUAGUCAUGACUUAACUAAGUUGUUUCAUUGUGUUUUUAGUCAACUUUAAGAUAAUAUUGAGCUUCUGUUAAAGUUAGCAAUGGUUUUGACCUAUGAGUGAGAUCUUAAAGUGAUCAUGUAUUCUCUAUGAACUAGGUCGUUGUUAAUAGAAGUUGAUAGCAAAAAGUAUUUUCAAUAAAAGCAUCAUGAUAUCUAAUUGGAUUGAGACAAAGUCUCCCCUUAGGUGAUCCUAAGGAGGUGUGUUUAUGUAAAUUAUGGUCAUAGUAGUUCCUUAAGUGGAAUUUGACAUAAGAUCUUUAUGAGCUAAGAUAUGUCAACUAAUCACAAAAUAGGAGGAUUUGCAAUUCAAGGAUAGUAAAGGUGGUCUUAAGAGGCUAAUAGAUUUCACUUCACCAUACUAUAAACACUAGUUCAUAGGAAGAUUACAUGCAAUGGAUAGCAGGUAAUGGACCAAGUACUUAGUAUCUCAUUGUUAUUUAUAUAUGGUACUAAAAUGAAAAUGAUUCUCAAUUGUGGGAUAUUGAAUCAACUUCAAAAUUGAAUUCUAAGGGAGCCAAUACUAUCUUAUGGCUCCUAAUGGUCCCCACUCCAGCUCAUAUACAUUGAUGACACAAUUUAUAAGGGUUAGAUUAGCUCUUGGUUCACUUAUGUGCAUAAGAGUGUUUUGGUAAUCAAGCAAGAUUACACAGGGGUUAGUGAACAUUAUCUCUAGAUUGAACUAAUUGAUUAGUUGGAUAGCCUUGCUGAGUAAAUUAAUCAAUCAAGAUCCUUUUGGAGCUAGAUUUAGUGACCCAAGUCUCUUGUUGACUCAAGUCACUUAAGCCUAAUAGGAAACCUUAUAAAUACCCCCUUAGGGGUUAGGGUUUCUAACUUUUCAAUCUUUCACCAUCUAGAGAAAGAGAGUUUUAGCCUCCACCCUCUCAAACACCCCAUCGUUUAUACGCCAAGAGUCGAGGUAGAGUCAUCAUGGUAGAAAAUCGUAGGUGUGCAAGACUUUCAACCACUUCGAUAUGGUUCUUUGUUGAAAGGAAAGGAUUAAGGAAUGUCCAAAUCAAUGGUAAAGGUUUCUAGCCAUUAAUUUAGAUCUAUAUAUAUAUAUAUAUAUAUAUAUAUAUAUAUAUUAAAAAUGCCUUUCUUUGCUUCCAUUGUAUAAGAUCUACAGGCCUAAGCAGAAAAUCAUGCACCUUACCUAAUUCUAGGAUAAGGAAUAGAGAGAUCCAAGAUUCUCGAUAAAUAUAUCUCAUGGAUUAAGGCAAUAUGCCCCUUAGGGUGAUUCUAAGACUUGUAAUUUUGAAAUAUGUGGUCAUGUUAAUUGCUCAAGUGAAAUUGAUAUAUAUUCUUUAUAGGCUAGAAUAUAUUAGUUAAUCACAUAAUAGAAGGACCUCAGACUCGAUGAUUAUAAAGGUAAUCUUAAAAGGUUAAUAGCUUCUACCGUGUUACAUUAUGGACUUCAAUCUAUGAAAAGUCUAUUUGAAGUGGGUAGUAGGUCACAAGCCUGAAAACUUAAUAAAAUUAGAUUGAAUCAAUUUUCAUCUCUAUUUAAUAUCAUAGGAUAUUAAUGUGCAGUUAGCUAUGUUGAAUAAAAUAUUGGGUUAAUUUCAGAAUUAGAUUAUAAAGGAAUUAACAUUUUUCUAUGGGUCCUAGUGAUCUUUGCUCAAACUUACACUCUUUGGUAGCAUGUACUUUAAGAGAAACUUUGUACACCAUGAUGGACAUAGGUUGCAAGCAACAUUGCACUCUAAUUUCUGUCAUAACACAACUCCUACCAAGUGUUCCUCAAAUCCAAUACAGAAUAAGGGCACACUGAGUAAUGAUGUUAUCUAUUUUCCAUGGUUUUUUAGAAGAGAAGGAAAAUCGAAAAAAUACAAAGCACUCUACUGUUUUUUUUUUUCCAAAACUAAAGAAAACCCUUUAAAGAAAUGUAUAAAACCUCUUAAACUUUUGUCCUCAAAAUCAAAGGAAACGUUGUUCAUUUUUAGGUCUAAACAAUCAACUAAACAAAUAUGUAACGGGUAGAACUCUAAUUUUGUGAGAAAGAAAAUAAAAUAAAACAAAUAUUAUGAGCCAAAAUUAAAACACAGUUUCUUUAAGAUCAAAAGAAAAUAAAAACAAAUAGUGUGAAGCCAAAACAUAAUUUAUUUAGGCCCAAAAUAAGGAUUAACCACAUGGAGCCCAAAGUUGUUGGCUCAUUUGAGUGCAAGGAUAAAAAUAUCGGAAAUUAUGGAUAUAUUGGUACUUCGAUUUUACGGAUAUAUCGGAGAUAUAUCGACGGAUAUUUUGGAAAAAAAUAUCAAUAGACGUAAAAUUGAUCAAAAUUUAUAAAAAUAUAAGAAAAACUUCAUAAAAAAAUAAUUAAAAGUAUAAUAGAUAUUUUAAAGUUGUUUUAUUAAAGAAUUUGAUAUAUGUAUAAUAUAAUUUAUCAUAUUUGAUAAUAAUAUCAUAUGCAUCGAUAAAAAUAUGAAUUUAAUAAGUGUACAUUUAUUAUUAAAUUACAUAAAAAAUUAUUUCAUAAUAAUAUUAUGAUAUUUGAUUAUAAUAUGUCUAAUUUUAAAAUAUAUAUUAAUAUUAAAAUUAUGAUCCAUUUAAUUCAAUUGUAUUAAAUAAUAUAAAAUAAAUUAUGAUAUAUGUACAAUUUUUUAAUAUUUAAUUAAUUUAUUAAUGAUAUUAAAAACACUAUGAAGAAAAUUAUUAUGAUAAUUUUUAUAUUUUUGGUAAUUAAUUAAAAGAAAUUUUGUAUUUAAUUAUAAAAUAAUUAUAAUUAAUUUUCUCUCUAAAAUUUUCUUUUAAAUUUUCUUUAUAUGAUGACUUUGAAUAUAUAUAUUUUAGUGCAUUACAUUUAAUAAGGACAAAGUUGCUCUUGUGGUAAGAUGAGUUGAACCACAAAUCUUUUGUUUGGGGUUCGAGUACCCUCAACAACAAAAAAAACAAAAAGGCAUUUUUGACCAAAUAUCAUAUCCAUGGUCUUGUGAUGCACCUAGUUAAAUGGCUUUCAAAUCAAGCAUCCUGAAAUUGCACUGAAUGUGCUUGGACCUCAUGCCUGUAGGCCCUACUUUCUCUUCACAAAUUCAUGAGGUUUGGAAAGUGGGAUUUAAUAAUAUAAACCAUUUCUUAGCUCCAACCUUCCCAAGUCAAACAAAGUAAACUCAUGCAAUGUUCCUAUAAUCUCCUAUGAAUUGCAUGAGUUGACAGAUACUGAAAAAAAGAAAGGAAUGGUGUUUGGAGAAAUACGAGAAUUCAAUGCAUCAAAAUUGGUGUCUUCAUGCUGUGAACUACUGUUAGGAUAUAGCGAGUUGUUAACCACAAAACUUUGGUAUGAAAUCCAUGAACCAAAACGUGGAAAAUGUGGUGCGAUUAACUUUCAAGAUUGAUAUCAAUGAGUGCUUGAACACACAAGGAUCAUAAGGAUGUGUGAUUUAUGAAAUGGGAUCUAACCAUUUCAAUGUUCAAUGCCUCUGCUUCUCAAACACCAUAUCAUAACUUUGGGGUAAAAUCUCCAUUGAGGUCAUCAAUUCCAAAGGAAAGUGCUAGCAUGAUUAAUUCAUAUUCUUUACUUUAAACGUCUACAUCAAACAACAUUUUACAAGCUCAACAUCAGCAAAUAAGUAGUACUAGCUUACAUGGGCAUUGCAUUUCAGAUAAAUAGCAUCGAACCAUACAAAAUAAGCAUCCACUACGUUCUUUUUCAACCGUCUUAUUCAACAGGCAGAGGACGAUAAGUAAUGGGAAUUAAGUACAGAUCUUGUUUUCUUUUAGUUGAUGUGCGAAAGCCCUCAGUCAUGUCUAACUCUUCAUGCCUUGCUCCAUUUGGAAGUUUCCAAUCAAAAUGGUAGAGUAAUUGUGCUAGUGCAAGCUCAACAUUGGCCAUACCAAACAAUAUUCCUGGGCACAUCCUCCUUCCAGCACCAAAUGGGAUGUAUUCAAAAUUAGUACCUUGAUAAUCAAUUGAACUGUCGAGGAACCUCUCUGGAUUAAAGCUCUCUGCAUCAGUCCAAUAUUUGGGGUCUCUUGCAAUUGCCCAUGCAUUAAUUAUGACUCUGGUUUUGACAGGUAUCUCAUAUCCAUUAAUUGCACACCUCUCUCGAGAUUCUCUUGGAAUUAACAAAGGAACAGGGGGGUGCAGUCUCAGAGUUUCUUUGAUGACUAACUUCAAGAAUUUUAAUUCACGAACG
Molecule: long non-coding RNA, 21581 nt
Filed under: Vitis vinifera (wine grape)
Lineage: Eukaryota; Viridiplantae; Streptophyta; Magnoliopsida; Vitales; Vitaceae
Description: long non-coding RNA (VVIN_LNC006504)
Source: RNAcentral